RNAcentral lists this ribosomal RNA (253 nucleotides) under uncultured bacterium. RNAcentral describes it as "partial 16S ribosomal RNA". It matches the Rfam family "Bacterial small subunit ribosomal RNA", at positions 524 to 776 of the family's 1533-position model. The record is from RNAcentral.
UACGGAGGGUGCAAGCAUUAAUCGGAAUUAUUGGGCGUAAAGGGCGCGUAGGCGGGUGGGAAAGUCAGAUGUGAAAUUUCGGAGCUCAACUUCGAAGCUGCAUUUGAAACUAUCUAUCUGGAGGAUAGGCGGAGAAAACGGAAUUCCACGUGUAGCGGUGAAAUGCGUAGAGAUGUGGAAGAACACCUGUGGCGAAAGCGGUUUUCUAGCUUACGCCUGACGCUGAGGCGCGAAAGCAAGGGGAGCAAACAGG